AUAGCACACAAAUUAAACCCAUUAAGGUUGCGGAAGGAGCGCCUCCUCGCCUAUGCCACGUCCCGUGAUUUACUGCAGCUCAGUUAACACCUCCCCAAUCCCCAAGGUAACUUCACGAAGGCAGUCAACGCACGCGAGACAAGGGCGCCUUCUCGGCGCCUUCUCGUCUGCUCGUAUUAAUAAUUGGCCCACGUACCACUGCCCCAUUUCCUUCGCCAAGAAGAAAGAAAGAGAUAGAGGAGCCUGCCUUCAGUUGGAUCCGAUGAUGCGUCGUGCUGCUGCUCUGUAUUCCUCCCCCCUCUCGAGCGGCUGAUAAGGCGGAGUGGCCGGAGGUGGUGGACCGGUGGGGGCGAGGUAUGUGUCAUGGCGUUUCGGCGGUGGCGUAGCACGGCUUCCUUCCGCUGCAUUCGACGACAUACGAGAUGGCAGUGGUGGUAGGCUGCUGGCAGCGGAGACGCUGGAUCAAUAUCUACCUCGACGCCGGCAAGUCAGCCAGCGGCGACCGCCCCUCCGUGUUCCUCGCGGCGGCGCAAACGGCCAUCAAAGACAUUUCCUGGAGCAGAAGUUGAAGAAGGACCAGAAGGCAAGAGAGAAGGAGGAGGAAAAACUUAAGGCAAGUCAAAACGGCUAGGCUCCAGUUAGCAUAAUUUGUGAUGGGUGCGUGGUGGCCUCCAUGGAAUGGCAUGAAAUCACAAACUACAGAGUUGCACAUGAGAAGGGCACCCCUGUACACGUUGGGAUGCUGAGGGAUUUACUACUGUCAUUCUUUAACGAGAGCAAUCUUAAACCCGGGAAGAUAAUAUUCUACAGGUGUCCUUGAAAGGGGCAUAACGAUUGGCAGUCUUGGUUCAAAGAGUUUCCUGACAUAUGAAAGCAACACUCUCUUUGCCCUUUUCUUUACGAUUGAGUGCAACAUUGUUGGUGGCAAUUGGAUCGAACUUCCUGCUCGGAUGUAUAGCAAAGCAACUCGCAUCAUGUCCUAUUGUCAGCUAGAGUUGGAUUGCCUAUAUUCAGAUUUGGUAAGCCAUGGUCCUGAAGGGGAAUACUCUAAGAUGGCCCUCUUUUGCAUAUUAAGUUUUGACAUCGAAUUUGCUGGUCGCAAAGGAUACUUCCCAGAACCAAAUCAUGAUCCGGUUAUUCAAGUUUAUUUUAUUACCUUUGUAUUUUGAUUGAUAAGCCAUUACAUUUAAUUUCCAAUGUGAAUGCCUUUAUGUGGUAACUGAAUGAGUGUUCUCUUUUUUCUGCCACUGACUUGAAGGAAUAUAUUUUUUAAUAUAUCGAUGCUCAUCAUUGCCAUGUCGGGCUCUCUGGUUCAUGCUACACAGAAGCUUAGAUCUGUAAUCAAGCUAUGGAAGAGAGUACUGUAAGAGACACUUCUAUAAGCAGAGACUUGCUUUUUUGAUUCAGUUGAAGAGCUCUCCUGGCUUAAGAUCUUUCUAGGAUAAUUACGUCGUUAAAUCUGAAGGAUUCACUCAUGUGCCAAAGCCAGCUCAGGGAAGCCUUCCUGUACUCCUGGUCGACCACGACACGAUCUUAAGCAAGCGGAACGCCGAAGGAGGAUCUUGGGGAUGACGGAGGCGUCGAUGACAACCUCAAAGGCGAGAGGAUGAGAUGCUUUGAGGCGCUGCAGCAAUACAAGUGCGCACAACUUCAUGUCAAGAGGCGCGCCAUGGGCGCGCCCCAGCCCCAAGUAUCACAGUAAGACUGGCUACGAUACAUUGCGCAGGAUCUAUCACAGCCGAAGAUGGACACAGGAGCACACAUAAAGGGACACUACUCUGGCAAAAUAGCAGGCAUGUCAAAAGUUUAAACCAGCACAAAGCGAGAUAGGUAAUAGAAAUAAGCAUUGCCCCCACUGACCGCCCGUCACCUUCGCGACAAAACUAACGGAAGUUUUUUUUGAAAAGGAGGAUAGACCCCGGCCGAUGAAUUAUUAAUACAUCAAUCGGUCUAAAGACAUCAUCUAGGCAAUACCUGUUGCUACUCCUAUCCCAUUGAUGAAGGUGUGCCGAAUAUCCGGGCCUAAUACCAAAAGGGCAUCGCACCAAACCCUAACAUCUAAAGCCGAAUGCCCCAGCCCAGUCACACACCGGGACAGGGUCCCAUAUCGGACCGACGCACUUUCAGAGGCUGCUGCUGUCAUCUUCCACCGGUCAAUCUCCAGAGCAGAAAUUGACCCAUUGACCGUGCCUGGCCUGCUGUCAAUGCCACCACGAUGCCAGACAACCCCACCAUCCUGCACGUAUCCGUCCACACACGCCCGUCGCCGAACCUCCGCAGCACCAUGCCUCCGGGAUCCGCCGUCGGUCUUGCGGUGGAUGAGACACCGCUGUUCCGCUUGUCCCGUCCAACUAGCACUUGCUCCAAAACGAUGCCC
Molecule: long non-coding RNA, 2377 nt
Organism: Triticum aestivum (bread wheat)
Lineage: Eukaryota; Viridiplantae; Streptophyta; Magnoliopsida; Poales; Poaceae
Exons: 10
Source: RefSeq, a predicted model, not a curated record